GUGCUCGCUUCGGCGGCACAUAUACAAAAAUUCGAACGAUACAGAGAAGAUUAGCAUGGCCCCUGCGCAAGAUUGACGCGCAAAUUCGUGAAGCAGAUUCGUUCCAUAUUUAA
Small nuclear RNA from Fukomys damarensis (Damara mole-rat), 113 nucleotides. NCBI's taxonomy places the organism in Eukaryota, Metazoa, Chordata, Mammalia, Rodentia, Bathyergidae. The record is from Ensembl.